Molecule: ribosomal RNA, 459 nt
Filed under: uncultured bacterium
Lineage: Bacteria
Description: partial 16S ribosomal RNA
Rfam family: Bacterial small subunit ribosomal RNA
Source: RNAcentral
CCUACGGGAGGCUGCAGUGAGGAAUAUUGGUCAAUGGCCGAGAGGCUGAACCAGCCAAGUCGCGUGAGGGAAGACGGCCCUACGGGUUGUAAACCUCUUUUGUCGGGGAGCAAAGCGAACCACGUGUGGUUCAUUGAGAGUACCCGAAGAAAAAGCAUCGGCUAACUCCGUGCCAGCAGCCGCGGUAAUACGGAGGAUGCGAGCGUUAUCCGGAUUUAUUGGGUUUAAAGGGUGCGCAGGCGGAGUUGCAAGUCAGCGGUUAAAUGGCGGGGCUCAACCCCGUACUGCCGUUGAAACUGCAUGCCUUGAGUGCGCGAGAGGUAUGCGGAAUGCGUGGUGUAGCGGUGAAAUGCUUAGAUAUCACGCAGAACUCCGAUUGCGAAGGCAGCAUACCGGCGCGCAACUGACGCUGAUGCACGAAAGCGUGGGUAUCGAACAGGAUUAGAUACCCGUGUAGUC